UAUGCUUAGCCUUAAACCCAGAUGCAUUUUUACAUUUACAUCCGCCAGGGUACUACAAGCGCAGCUUAAAACCCAAAGGACUUGGCGGUGCCUCAGACCCACCUAGAGGAGCCUGUUCUAGAACCGAUAACCCCCGUUAAACCUCACCACUUCUUGUUUUUCCCGCCUAUAUACCGCCGUCGUCAGCUUACCCUGUGAAGGACUAACAGUAAGCAAAAUGGGUCCACCCAAAAACGUCAGGUCGAGGUGUAGCGCACGAAGUGGGAAGAAAUGGGCUACAUUUUCUAAUAACAGAAUAUCACGGACGGCACCCUGAAAUAGGUGCCCAAAGGUGGAUUUAGUAGUAAAAAAUAAAUAGAGAGUCUUUUUGAAUUAGGCUCUGAGGCGC
This 388-nucleotide ribosomal RNA is filed under the name Genidens planifrons. Its description in RNAcentral is "partial 12S ribosomal RNA". It matches the Rfam family "Bacterial small subunit ribosomal RNA", at positions 791 to 1382 of the family's 1533-position model. The record is from RNAcentral. Lineage: Eukaryota; Metazoa; Chordata; Actinopteri; Siluriformes; Ariidae.